GAGAGAGAGAGAGAGAGAGGGCGAUUGGAGUGUCGUCGUCGAUUAUGGUACGAAGGCUUCCGUCAUUGAUGAGCUCCGUCGACAAAAUUGGUUCUGGGGAUUGCUUAAAUCGGCACCGUCAAGUUAGCGCGACAAGAAAGUGCACACCAGAGAGAAUCCUCCGUACUCCCGGAAGGUCACAAACUCACUUGUAUCAUUUGUUCUGGUGACGAGUCAAGGAGCUGGGACAAAAUUAUCGCAGGACUCCCACACAGGCAACCAACGAGUCACUGAUCUCUCCAUGGUACCUAUGAUGGACACAGCUGUUCCUCUGCGACACCCUGCUGAUCACAAAGAUGGCACAGCUGAGGAAGAUUCUAGGGGUAAAGACAAUGGUUCAUGUGUGAGACCUGCGGCAAGAUCUGCAGGGGUGGGCAAUGUGCAGCAGUUGCAGCUGUGUUCGAGUGUGAGAUUAAGCCAAAUUUAUUGGUACUUCAAACCUGGCUCGGAGCAACUCCUGGUCCAAUUAUUUAAGAGAACAGCAGCCACAUGGCCUUUCCUGCCCUCGCCAUGACUUUUCCACCCCAGUAAAGGAGUCAGAAGAGGCAGAGGUAGAGAGAGAGAGAGAGAGGAGGGGAGAGGUAGUGAAUCUUUUUCCUGGUCCAGAAAUAGUUGAUGGUGAUGGAAUGAAUGCAUGUUAUUAAAUGAUACUUGGAUUUUGGACCCAUAGGAAACAUGCUUCUCGACAUAAACUGAGGGCAACAUGUUGGUGAUAAUGACACUGCAUCUUCCACUCAUCUUCCUUGACGAACCCCAAAAAUAGAGAGGAUUUGGGAGAGAAGGAUGAAUGCUGAAUCCACUUUUUAUGGGGCGACACGGAGUCUCAACUCCGGUUAUUCUAUUCUGUGGAUAAGCGGGGAAUGAUAUAAGAGAUACGUCAACCAUCCAAUUCCACAUACGGUUUACUUAUGCAAUUGGUUUGGUUGUCUAACUUUCUCUUCCAUUGUUUACUUCAGUUUAAGCACGUUCAAGUCACAGAGAAAGAUCAAAUCUUGUGGUGUUCACGAAGGACAAAGCAGUCACAAUACCACUUGUGUAGGCUACUGCAUAAAUCUGGAAAAGGACACUGUUCUCGAGAGGAGGAAAUCUUCUCACUCUUCUUCCAAGUUUCAGUCUUUCUAUCCUGUCCGCAGUUCCAUUUUCUAGUCUGUAUUAUCUUCGUAAGAAGGAUGCAUGUACUCAGCUGAGCCAUUUUGUGCUCUUUCAUUCUUGAAUCAAAAUAAUGG
Long non-coding RNA from Musa acuminata AAA Group (dessert banana), 1265 nucleotides. RefSeq lists it as uncharacterized. Lineage: Eukaryota; Viridiplantae; Streptophyta; Magnoliopsida; Zingiberales; Musaceae. The record is from RefSeq and is a predicted model, not a curated record. The transcript is spliced from 4 exons.